AAGACUACACUUUCAGGGAUCAUUUCUAUGGUUCUUUACUAAAGAAGUUUCUCUGAUGGUGUGGAGCACCCAGGACCAUGCAGACUAGAUACAGCAUCUCUUCUGAAGCUGAAGCCAGCCCUAGGUGCUGCUUUAAUGCAAGCUGCUUCUUACCAUUGAUUAUUGCUCUUCUCUCCCUUUGAGAGAGAGGGAGGGAGGGAACACAAUCUGAGUGGA
Small nucleolar RNA from Microtus ochrogaster (prairie vole), 216 nucleotides. Its record names the gene U3. It matches the Rfam family "Small nucleolar RNA U3". From Rfam's summary of the family: Small nucleolar RNAs (snoRNAs) are involved in the processing and modification of rRNA in the nucleolus. There are two main classes of snoRNAs: the box C/D class, and the box H/ACA class. NCBI's taxonomy places the organism in Eukaryota, Metazoa, Chordata, Mammalia, Rodentia, Cricetidae. The record is from Ensembl.